AGUGAACGCUGGCGGUAGGCCUAACACAUACAAGUCGAACGGCAGCACAGAGGAGCUUGCUCCUUGGGCGGCGAGUGGCGGACGGGUGGGGAAUACAUCGGAAUCUACUCUGUCGUGGGGGAUAACGUAGGGAAACUUACGCUAAUACCGCAUACGACCUACGGGUGAAAGCAGGGGAUCUUCGGACCUUGCGCGAUUGAAUGAGCCGAUGUCGGAUUAGCUAGUUGGCGGGGUAAAGGCCCACCAAGGCGACGAUCCGUAGCUGGUCUGAGAGGAUGAUCAGCCACACUGGAAAUGAGACACGGUCCAGACUCCUACGGGAGGCAGCAGUGGGGAAUAUUGGACAAUGGGCGCAAGCCUGAUCCAGCCAUACCGCGUGGGUGAAGAAGGCCUUCGGGUUGUAAAGCCCUUUUGUUGGGAAAGAAAUCCAUCUGGUUAAUACCCGGGUGGGAUGACGGUACCCAAAGAAUAAGCACCGGCUAACUUCGUGCCAGCAGCCGCCGUAA
RNAcentral lists this ribosomal RNA (506 nucleotides) under uncultured bacterium. Its description in RNAcentral is "partial 16S ribosomal RNA". It matches the Rfam family "Bacterial small subunit ribosomal RNA", at positions 29 to 523 of the family's 1533-position model. The record is from RNAcentral.